AGAGCGAACGCUGGCGGCAGGCCUAACACAUGCAAGUCGAGCGCCGUAGCAAUACGGAGCGGCAGACGGGAGAGUAACACGUGGGAACGUACCCUUCAGUUCGGAACAACCCAGGGAAACUUGGGCUAAUACCGAAUACGUCCGUAAGGAGAAAGAUUUAUCGCUGAAGGAUCGGCCCGCGUCUGAUUAGCUUGUUGGUGAGGUAAUGGCUCACCAAGGCUACGAUCAGUAGCUGGUCUGAGAGGAUGAUCAGCCUCACUGGGACUGAGACACGGCCCAGACUCCUACGGGAGGCAGCAGUGGGGAAUAUUGGACAAUGGGCGCAAGCCUGAUCCAGCCAUGCCGCGUGGGUGAUGAGGCCCUAGGGUGUAAGCCCUUUCGGCGGGAAGAGUAAUGACGGUACCCGCAGAAGAAGCCCCGGCUAACUUCGUGCCAGCAGCCGC
Molecule: ribosomal RNA, 443 nt
Filed under: uncultured bacterium
Lineage: Bacteria
Description: SSU rRNA
Rfam family: Bacterial small subunit ribosomal RNA
Source: RNAcentral